This 405-nucleotide ribosomal RNA is filed under the name uncultured prokaryote. Its description in RNAcentral is "bacterial SSU rRNA". It matches the Rfam family "Bacterial small subunit ribosomal RNA", at positions 355 to 774 of the family's 1533-position model. The record is from RNAcentral.
UGGGGAAUAUUGCGCAAUGGGGGAAACCCUGACGCAGCAACGCCGCGUGAAGGAUGAAGGCCUUCGGGUUGUAAACUUCUUUGAUUGGGGACGAAAAAAAUGACGGUACCCAAAAAACAAGCCACGGCUAACUACGUGCCAGCAGCCGCGGUAAUACGUAGGUGGCAAGCGUUAUCCGGAAUUACUGGGUGUAAAGGGCGUGUAGGCGGGAAGAUAAGUCAGAUGUGAAAUACCCAGGCUUAACCUGGGUUCUGCAUCUGAAACUAUUUUUCUUGAGUGCUGGAGAGGAAAGCGGAAUUCCUAGUGUAGCGGUGAAAUGCGUAGAUAUUAGGAGGAACACCAGUGGCGAAGGCGGCUUUCUGGACAGUAACUGACGCUGAGGCGCGAAAGCGUGGGGAGCAAACA